Molecule: unclassified non-coding RNA, 187 nt
Filed under: soil metagenome
Description: partial internal transcribed spacer 1
Source: RNAcentral
CCGAGUUUACAACUCCCAAACCCCAUGUGAACAUGACCACUGUUGCCUCGGCGGGCAUUCAUGCCCCGGCUCCCAGCCCGUACUAAACGGGACGGCCCGCCAGAGGACCACCUAAAACUCUUCUGUAUGUCCUCCCUUUAUAUUCUGAACAUCUCUGCGCCCUAAACGGCAUUCGAAAAUGAAAUCA